Molecule: unclassified non-coding RNA, 160 nt
Filed under: Oryza sativa (Asian cultivated rice)
Lineage: Eukaryota; Viridiplantae; Streptophyta; Magnoliopsida; Poales; Poaceae
Description: partial microRNA MIR429a precursor
Source: RNAcentral
UGGAGAAAGCGUUUGUAGUCCCGGUUCGUAACCCUCCCUAGUCCCGGUUUUCAAAUCGGGACUACUAAUCCGGGACUAGAGAUGGCUCAGCCACGUGACCGGCUGAGCCAUCUUUAAUCCCGGUUGGUGUUACCAACCGGGACUAAGGAUCGAGCUGACC